GAGUUUGAUCGUGGCUCAGGAUGAACGCUGGCGGCGUGCUUAACACAUGCAAGUCGAGCGAAGCAUUUCAUCAGAAGUUUUCGGACGGAAGAUGAUCUGACUGAGCGGCGGACGGGUGAGUAACGCGUGGGUAACCUGCCCCAUACAGGGGAAUAACAGCUGGAAACGGCUGCUAAUGCCGCAUAAGCGCACAGGACGGCAUCGUCCAGUGUGAAAAGCCGAGACGGUAUGGGAUGGACCCGCGUCUGAUUAGCUGGUUGGUGAGGUAACGGCCCACCAAGGCGACGAUCAGUAGCCGACCUGAGAGGGUGACCGGCCACAUUGGGACUGAGACACGGCCCAAACUCCUACGGGAGGCAGCAGUGGGGAAUAUUGCACAAUGGGGGAAACCCUGAUGCAGCGACGCCGCGUGAGUGAAGAAG
RNAcentral lists this ribosomal RNA (422 nucleotides) under uncultured bacterium. Its description in RNAcentral is "bacterial SSU rRNA". It matches the Rfam family "Bacterial small subunit ribosomal RNA", at positions 9 to 413 of the family's 1533-position model. The record is from RNAcentral.